GUUGCGUUUUCAUUUUCGUCUUGAAUAUAUUCCGUUUCUCUCAAAUUAAUUGUUUGAUAAACGCGCGAUGUAACCUCGAUCAUUCCACAUUCUCGAUCGCAAAAAUAAAGCGAAUUCUACGGAGAAUUGUGAGCAAAAACAGCUGAUCUGAAAACGUUCCAGGCAGCGAACAAGAUACGUAUUCGAAAUUUAAAGCAAUCGUUAAUUGAAUUAGACACUUCCGAAACGCUCGUUACUGAACACAAUUAAUAGAUUUCAGGAUUUAACAGAAUGAAGACAAUAUAAUUUCACAAGCUUCGAUAUGCUUGCAAAGGAAUAUGGAUCAUGUAUCAAAGUCUGUGAGGUUCAAUUGAAAUAAUUAUUAAUUAUCGCGGAAGGAAUUAUCGCUAUGUCCGAAGCAUAGAACGCAGUUCUCCAGCGACACGUGGACCAGCUAUGCAUGCUGCCGUAAAUCGAUUGGAGUCCGAAAUUAAUCAAUAACAAACGAUCGUAAACGUAUAAACGUACUAUAAAUUUAAACGUGCGAACUGUAUUAUCGGACAAUUUUAUUUAUAAUUCGACUAUUACACUCCCGACAAUUUUGUACAUACUAAAAUUUUUCAAUUUCCAGAAUACGCUAUUAAAAUAUGCACAUAUGCGAAAUA
Molecule: long non-coding RNA, 644 nt
Organism: Wasmannia auropunctata (little fire ant)
Lineage: Eukaryota; Metazoa; Arthropoda; Insecta; Hymenoptera; Formicidae
Exons: 3
Source: RefSeq, a predicted model, not a curated record